UAAACUGCCUGUGCUUGUUAAACAACAAUGCAUGCGUGACCAGGCCUGAUCAGAAGCAAAAUCCCAAUUCCUGGAUAUUCCACGAGAUAAUCUUUAUUUGCAACAGAGGAUAUUUUAACUUCUUAAUGGCGAAAUGAUUCAAGGUGGUUCCAAAUGUGACACCGAUGACGAGCAAGCAUCUACUCGUAGGCUGAAGUUUGGACUGGGACAAUGCCAUGUGGCCCAAAAACACGCCUACUUGCAACAAAAUCCCAGGAGAUGGAAGGCUAUGCAUGUACUUAAUAUAAGCAUGUAAAUUUUACACUGUAAAAAGAUAGCAGUUACAUAAUACUGCCAAGAACAUUAAAUGACUUCAAUCUA
Molecule: long non-coding RNA, 360 nt
Organism: Podarcis raffonei (Aeolian wall lizard)
Lineage: Eukaryota; Metazoa; Chordata; Lepidosauria; Squamata; Lacertidae
Exons: 2
Source: RefSeq, a predicted model, not a curated record